GGAGAGAUGGCUGAGUGGUUUAAAGCGCACGCCUGGAGAGCGUGAGUAGGCCAAAAGCCUACCGGGGGUUCGAAUCCCCCUCUCUCCGCCA
This 91-nucleotide transfer RNA is filed under the name Verrucomicrobiota bacterium. Its description in RNAcentral is "Verrucomicrobia bacterium (anaerobic digester metagenome) tRNA-Ser". It matches the Rfam family "tRNA". Rfam says of the family: Transfer RNA (tRNA) molecules are approximately 80 nucleotides in length. Lineage: Bacteria; Pseudomonadati; Verrucomicrobiota. The record is from RNAcentral.